Molecule: transfer RNA, 68 nt
Filed under: Marmota monax (woodchuck)
Lineage: Eukaryota; Metazoa; Chordata; Mammalia; Rodentia; Sciuridae
Description: tRNA.Ala
Source: RNAcentral
GCUGUAGCUCAGUGGUAGAGUGCUUGCCUAGCAUGUGUGAGGUACUGGGUUUGAUUCUCAGGACUGCA